This 397-nucleotide ribosomal RNA is filed under the name uncultured bacterium. Its description in RNAcentral is "partial 16S ribosomal RNA". It matches the Rfam family "Bacterial small subunit ribosomal RNA", at positions 523 to 918 of the family's 1533-position model. The record is from RNAcentral.
AUACGUAGGUGGCAAGCGUUGUCCGGAAUUAUUGGGCGUAAAGCGCGCGCAGGUGGUUCCUUAAGUCUGAUGUGAAAGCCCCCGGCUCAACCGGGGAGGGUCAUUGGAAACUGGGGAACUUGAGUGCAGAAGAGGAUAGUGGAAUUCCAAGUGUAGCGGUGAAAUGCGUAGAGAUGUGGAGGAACACCAGUGGCGAAGGCGACUGUCUGGUCUAUAACUGACACUGAGGCGCGAAAGCGUGGGGAGCAGACAGGAUUAUAUACCCUGGUAGUCCACGCCGUAAACGGGGAGUGCUAAGUGUUGGGGGGUUUCCGCCCCUCAGUGCUGCAGCUAACGCAUUAAGCACUCCGCCUGGGGAGUACGGUCGCAAGACUGAAACUCAAAUGAAUUGACGGGG